GCCCAUUGACAAACAAUUGACACACCUUUCAUUACUGUAAACUACCACAUCAAGCUUUUAGUCAACAUCAUAAUUAACCUCAUAUCAGGGUGGAUUAAGGGGUCCUAGUUCUGUACAUUUUAGGAAUCUUUUUCAGUAAUCAUGGUGUUUUACAAAUAUUGUAUGGUAAACAUUGGACUUGGUCUAACAGGCCUGCAUAACUGAAAAUAGGAAGUAAAUCAGAGAAAUGUUAGAAAUUCAUCAAGCAUGUACAAAAAUGUGGUUUA
Molecule: long non-coding RNA, 266 nt
Filed under: Daucus carota (carrot)
Lineage: Eukaryota; Viridiplantae; Streptophyta; Magnoliopsida; Apiales; Apiaceae
Description: long non-coding RNA (DCAR_LNC002466)
Source: RNAcentral